ACACAGGUAGUCAAGAUGAGAAUUCUAAGGUGAGCGAGCGAACUCUCGUUAAGGAACUCGGCAAAAUGACCCCGUAACUUCGGGAGAAGGGGUGCUCUUUAGGGUUAACGCCCAGAAGAGCCGCAGUGAAUAGGCCCAAGCGACUGUUUAUCAAAAACACAGGUCUCUGCUAAACCGUAAGGUGAUGUAUAGGGGCUGACGCCUGCCCGGUGCUGGAAGGUUAAGAGGAGUGGUUAGCUUCUGCGAAGCUACGAAUCGAAGCCCCAGUAAACGGCGGCCGUAACUAUAACGGUCCUAAGGUAGCGAAAUUCCUUGUCGGGUAAGUUCCGACCCGCACGAAAGGCGUAACGAUUUGGGCACUGUCUCAACGAGAGACUCGGUGAAAUCAUAGUAC
RNAcentral lists this ribosomal RNA (394 nucleotides) under Staphylococcus aureus. RNAcentral's name for it is "partial 23S ribosomal RNA". It matches the Rfam family "Bacterial large subunit ribosomal RNA", at positions 1657 to 2050 of the family's 2925-position model. Lineage: Bacteria; Bacillati; Bacillota; Bacilli; Caryophanales; Staphylococcaceae. The record is from RNAcentral.